GUGCCAGCCGCGCGGUAAUACCGGCAGCCCGAGUGAUGGCCGCUAUUAUUGGGCCUAAAGCGUCCGUAGCCGGCCGGGCAAGUCCGUCGGGAAAUCCACCCGCUUAACGGGUGGGCGUCCGGUAGAAACUGGCCGGCUUGGAACCGGAAGGCUCAGAGAGUACGUCCGGGGUAGGAGUGAAAUCCCGUAAUCCCGGACGGACUACCGAUGGCGAAAGCACUCUGAGAAGACGGCUUCGACAGUGAGGGACGAAAGCUCGGGUCUCAAACCGGAUUAGAUACCCUGGUAGUCC
This 292-nucleotide ribosomal RNA is filed under the name uncultured bacterium. RNAcentral's name for it is "partial 16S ribosomal RNA". It matches the Rfam family "Archaeal small subunit ribosomal RNA", at positions 455 to 747 of the family's 1478-position model. The record is from RNAcentral.